This 405-nucleotide long non-coding RNA is filed under the name Musa acuminata (dwarf banana). Its description in RNAcentral is "long non-coding RNA (MACU_LNC004509)". Lineage: Eukaryota; Viridiplantae; Streptophyta; Magnoliopsida; Zingiberales; Musaceae. The record is from RNAcentral.
CGCGAAGGAUUUGUUGCGAGUUCGAGAGUUCGACGGAAGUCUGAAGGUUCGUUGGGAGUUCGCGCAGCUCGCCAAGAAAGAUCGGAGCUUGCCGAAGAAGCUCGUUGGAACUUGCUAAGAACAAAUCGUGAAGUCUAGGAGCUUGCCGGGGAGUCCGCAGAAUGGUUUCCGAGAGUUCAUCGGAAGACCGCCGGAAGUUUGCCGGAAGCUCGCCAGAAGAAGUCUUGACUUGCGGACUUUGUAAUGGUUUAGAAAAUGUCUUUAAAAUCAUAGUUAGCACGUUAAUUAGGGUUAGGAUUAGGUGUUAAUCCUAUAACCCAAGUAGGGGCCAAUUAGGCCCAAGUUCGGACUGGUUUGGGCCAAGUUUGGAGCCAAACCAAGUGAGCUGAAAUAGUGAAAGAGGUG